This is a long non-coding RNA of Gambusia affinis (western mosquitofish), 627 nucleotides long. RefSeq lists it as uncharacterized. The record is from RefSeq and is a predicted model, not a curated record. Lineage: Eukaryota; Metazoa; Chordata; Actinopteri; Cyprinodontiformes; Poeciliidae. The transcript is spliced from 2 exons.
AGUAACACAUGAGGGCGACAGCAGAGGGAAAGGCUGACAUAUGCUCCCUCGCUCUGUGGCCUGGCCUUCCUGCUUCAUCACGCAAUAUGGCUGAACUCUGAAUAUUAUCCUCUCGUACGGCAAACCCGGCGUCAUCUCGGCCGUUGCCGCUGCCUUUACCGUCACGCUCUCCUCCUGUGUAUAUCAGGUUGCUCUGAGCUAUUUUCAGCAGAAUUUCAGCGGCUGAGCUGUGACAAAACAGCGAGUUAAAAGGCUAAACUGGGCUGUGGUCCUUCCCAGGAGAGGGACUGGAUUUAUCCCAGUUGUCUCAAAGUAUCGACCAGCAGUGGUUCAGCAGGGUUUCUCUGUUACAAGCUGUGGUUCUUGGUGACGCCUUCAUGGAAAAACGUACAUAAAUCCUUUGCUACAAAGUCAGGCCGGCUACACUAGUUAGCACCAACCCUGAGGUUUCACACACACGCAGCGCAGCAGACAGGCGGCUGCUCUCUUAACCAGUGUAACAGCGCCCUCCGGAGGCCAGCUAGAGGACCGUUUCAACAUCCUUCAAACAUCCGUUAGUUUUGUUUUGCCUUCAAAUCCUUUCCUGUUAAAAUGAUAAUAAAAAUAAAACAGUUUUCAUGUGAAACA